This is a long non-coding RNA of Stegastes partitus (bicolor damselfish), 93 nucleotides long. RefSeq lists it as uncharacterized. The transcript is spliced from 3 exons. The record is from RefSeq and is a predicted model, not a curated record. NCBI's taxonomy places the organism in Eukaryota, Metazoa, Chordata, Actinopteri, Pomacentridae.
UUGUCUUUAAAGUACAAGUUCAUUUUCAAACACAUAUAACUCCAUCUUCAUAACCCUUUAGGAAACCCACGUUUCCAUCGUCUACCUGAGACA